Molecule: ribosomal RNA, 503 nt
Filed under: uncultured bacterium
Lineage: Bacteria
Description: partial 16S ribosomal RNA
Rfam family: Bacterial small subunit ribosomal RNA
Source: RNAcentral
GAUGAACGCUAGCGACAGGCUUAACACAUGCAAGUCGAGGGGCAUCGGGGUGUAGCAAUACACUGCCGGCGACCGGCGCACGGGUGAGUAACGCGUAUGCAACUUGCCGAUCAGAGGGGGAUAACCCGGCGAAAGUCGGACUAAUACCGCAUAAAACAGGGGUUCCGCAUGGAAAUAUUUGUUAAAGAUUCAUCGCUGAUCGAUAGGCAUGCGUUCCAUUAGGCAGUUGGCGGGGUAACGGCCCACCAAACCGACGAUGGAUAGGGGUUCUGAGAGGAAGGUCACCCACAUUGGUACUGAGACACGGACCAAACUCCUACGGGAGGCAGCAGUGAGGAAUAUUGGUCAAUGGGCGAGAGCCUGAACCAGCCAAGUCGCGUGAAGGAAGGAGGAUCUAUGGUUUGUAAACUUCUUUUAUAGGGGAAUAAAGUGUGGGACGUGUCCCGUUUUGUAUGUACCCUAUGAAUAAGCAUCGGCUAACUCCGUGCCAGCAGCCGCUGUAA